Molecule: non-coding RNA, 46 nt
Filed under: Schistosoma mattheei
Lineage: Eukaryota; Metazoa; Platyhelminthes; Trematoda; Strigeidida; Schistosomatidae
Source: RNAcentral
GAACUGCUGAAGAGUCCCAUACUAGGACGAAGCAACCGUCCAGUGC